This 77-nucleotide transfer RNA is filed under the name Lentisphaerota bacterium. RNAcentral's name for it is "Lentisphaerae bacterium (freshwater sediment metagenome) tRNA-Met". It matches the Rfam family "tRNA". From Rfam's summary of the family: Transfer RNA (tRNA) molecules are approximately 80 nucleotides in length. Their secondary structure includes four short double-helical elements and three loops (D, anti-codon, and T loops). The record is from RNAcentral. Lineage: Bacteria; Pseudomonadati; Lentisphaerota. RNAcentral also lists the same sequence under 2 other names.
GGCGGCAUAGCUCAGUUGGUUAGAGCAGUGGAAUCAUAAUCCACGUGUCCGGGGUUCGAGUCCCUGUGCCGCCACCA